Molecule: ribosomal RNA, 497 nt
Filed under: uncultured bacterium
Lineage: Bacteria
Description: partial 16S ribosomal RNA
Rfam family: Bacterial small subunit ribosomal RNA
Source: RNAcentral
GAUGAACGCUGGCGGCGUGCCUAAUACAUGCCAGUCGAGCGAACAGACCAGGAGCUUGCUCCUCUGGCGUUAGCGGCGGACGGGAGAGGAACACGUGGUUAACCUACCUAUAGGACAGGGAUAACUUCGGGGAACCGGAGCUAAUACCGGAUGACAUGUUGAACCGGAUGGUGCAACAGUGAAAGACGUUCUUGCUGUCACUUAUAGAUGGACCCGCGCCGCAUUAGCUAGUUGGUAAGGUAGCGGCUUACCAAGGCAACGAUGCGUAGCCGACCUGAGAGGGUGAUGGGCCACACUGGAACUGAGACACGGUCCAGACUCCGACGGGAGGCAGCGGUAGGGACUCUUCCGAGAUGGGCGAAAUCCUGACGGAGGAACGCCGCGUGAGUGAAGAAGGUCUUCGGAUCGUAAAACUCUGUUAUUAGGGAAGAACAAAUGUGUAAGUAACUAUGCACGUCUUGACGGUACCUAGUGAGAAAGCCACGGCUAACUACGUG